Molecule: ribosomal RNA, 492 nt
Filed under: uncultured bacterium
Lineage: Bacteria
Description: partial 16S ribosomal RNA
Rfam family: Bacterial small subunit ribosomal RNA
Source: RNAcentral
AGUGAACGCUGGCGGUAGGCCUAACACAUGCAAGUCGAACGGCAGCACAGUAAGAGCUUGCUCUUACGGGUGGCGAGUGGCGGACGGGUGAGGAAUACAUCGGAAUCUACUUUUUCGUGGGGGAUAACGUAGGGAAACUUACGCUAAUACCGCAUACGACCUACGGGUGAAAGCAGGGGAUCUUCGGACCUUGCGCGAUUGAAUGAGCCGAUGUCGGAUUAGCUAGUUGGCGGGGUAAAGGCCCACCAAGGCGACGAUCCGUAGCUGGUCUGAGAGGAUGAGCGGCCACACUGGAACGGAGACACGGUCCAGACCCCGACGGGAGGGGGCAGUGGGGAAUUUGGGACAAGGGGCGAAAGCCUGACCCAGCAAUGCGGGGUGGGUGAAGAAGGCCUUCGGGUUGUAAAGCCCUUUUGUGGGGAAAAAAAAAAGGCGGUUUAAUCCCCCCCUGUCUUGACGGUACCAAAAAAAAAAGCCCCGGCUAACUUCGUG